AUUGUCAAUUGGUGAUAGUAGUUCUUAAGCGUUAUAGUGGAUUUCUAUCUCACGGUUGCUUGAGUUAUUCUACUUUCACCAAUUGGCCUU
Brassica rapa (field mustard) is the source of this 90-nucleotide non-coding RNA. NCBI's taxonomy places the organism in Eukaryota, Viridiplantae, Streptophyta, Magnoliopsida, Brassicales, Brassicaceae. The record is from RefSeq and is marked provisional.